UACGGGGGGGGCAAGCGUUGUUCGGAAUUACUGGGCGUAAAGGGCUCGUAGGUGGCCAACUAAGUCAGACGUGAAAUCCCCGGGCUCAACCCGGGAACUGCGUCCGAUACUGGCAGGCUUGAAUCCGGGAGAGGGAUGCGGAAUUCCAGGUGUAGCGGUGAAAUGCGUAGAUAUCUGGAGGAACACCGGUGGCGAAGGCGGCAUCCUGGACCGGCAUUGACGCUGAGGCGCGAAAGCCAGGGGAGCAAACGGG
This 253-nucleotide ribosomal RNA is filed under the name uncultured bacterium. RNAcentral describes it as "partial 16S ribosomal RNA". It matches the Rfam family "Bacterial small subunit ribosomal RNA", at positions 524 to 776 of the family's 1533-position model. The record is from RNAcentral.